Molecule: ribosomal RNA, 253 nt
Filed under: uncultured bacterium
Lineage: Bacteria
Description: partial 16S ribosomal RNA
Rfam family: Bacterial small subunit ribosomal RNA
Source: RNAcentral
GCAAGUCGAGGGGUAACGAAAGUAGCUUGCUACUAGGCGACGACCGGCGCACGGGUGCGUAACGCGUAUGCAACCUACCUUUUACUGAGGGAUAGCCCAGAGAAAUUUGGAUUAAUACCUCAUAGUAUCAUAAAUGUUCAUGCAUUAAUGAUUAAAACUUCGGUGGUAAAAGAUGGGCAUGCGUAAGAUUAGCUAGUUGGUAAGGUAACGGCUUACCAAGGCAACGAUCUUUAGGGGGCCUGAGAGGGUGGUC